ACUCACUAUUUACUCGUUUAAAUUCACACUCGCAUCAAAUACAAGUGAUAAAGAUUGUCAAUUAAAAGACCUCAUGCAAUCAAUUUAUUUUAUAAAUAAAAUAGAAUAAAAAUUUUUAUUAAAAUUAAUUUCAAAACUUUUCUGUGUUAACACAGACACAAAAAUUAAAUUCUAGCUAGCUAUAGGAAUAUAAUAAUAGUCCUUCAAAUCUAAUCUAAAAUCAGAUAG
This 228-nucleotide long non-coding RNA is filed under the name Elaeis guineensis (African oil palm). Its description in RNAcentral is "long non-coding RNA (EGUI_LNC045600)". The record is from RNAcentral. Lineage: Eukaryota; Viridiplantae; Streptophyta; Magnoliopsida; Arecales; Arecaceae.